GAUGAACGCUGGCGGCGUGCCUAAUACAUGCAAGUCGAGCGAACAGACGAGGAGCUUGCUCCUCUGACGUUAGCGGCGGACGGGUGAGUAACACGUGGAUAACCUACCUAUAAGACUGGGAUAACUUCGGGAAACCGGAGCUAAUACCGGAUAAUAUAUUGAACCGCAUGGUUCAAUAGUGAAAGACGGUUUUGCUGUCACUUAUAGAUGGAUCCGCGCCGCAUUAGCUAGUUGGUAAGGUAACGGCUUACCAAGGCAACGAUGCGUAGCCGACCUGAGAGGGUGAUCGGCCACACUGGAACUGAGACACGGCCCAGACUCCUACGGGAGGCCGCAGUAGGGACUCUUCCGCAAUGGGCGAAUGCCUGACGGAGCAACGCCGCGUGAGUGAUGAAGGUCUUCGGAUCGUAAAACUCUGUUAUUAGGGAAGAACAAAUGUGUAAGUAACUAUGCACGUCUUGACGGUACCUAAUCAGAAAGCCACGGCUAACUACGUG
Molecule: ribosomal RNA, 497 nt
Filed under: uncultured bacterium
Lineage: Bacteria
Description: partial 16S ribosomal RNA
Rfam family: Bacterial small subunit ribosomal RNA
Source: RNAcentral